GUCUAUGGCCAUGCUACCCUGAACAAGCUUGAUCCCAUCUGAUCUUGGAAGCUAAGCAGGGUUGGGCCUGGUUUGUACUUGGAUGGGAGACCACCUAGGAAGACCAGGUGCUAUAGGUG
RNAcentral lists this ribosomal RNA (119 nucleotides) under Pteropus alecto (black flying fox). The record is from RNAcentral. Lineage: Eukaryota; Metazoa; Chordata; Mammalia; Chiroptera; Pteropodidae.